Molecule: long non-coding RNA, 1153 nt
Organism: Anopheles arabiensis
Lineage: Eukaryota; Metazoa; Arthropoda; Insecta; Diptera; Culicidae
Exons: 3
Source: RefSeq, a predicted model, not a curated record
AACAUUCUCAUGUUUCAUAUGGCUCUUCUCUUUCCAUCGUUAGAGAGAAACUCUUGCGUCUCGCUUUUCUGGGACUUAUCCAAUUUCUCCCGCUCUUUGUAUCAUUGUACAGGUACUCCCCGAUAUACGCUAUCAAUGCGGACCGGAGGCAAUAGCGUAUCUCGAGUAUUAUCGAAAGCCAAAUUUCGAGGUUUUCAGUCAAAUUAUAGCUUAUUUUCGUAUAAUUUUGCAUGAAGUGGUAGGUUUUAGCCACUAAAUUAGUUAUUUGAUCUGAUUUCAACUGAAGAUUACAAUGUUAUAUGGUUUUUAAUAUUCAACCAAAAGGGAAUUUAUUUUCCAAUUGACAUUCCAUUUCUCAAAUUAGUACAAUUUGCUCAAAGAACUGUCAAAUUAAAAAAAAAGCGUAUAGCGAAAUCACGUAUUUCGAGUCUGGCGUAUAUCGAGGAAUACCUGUAUAUCCACACGAGGAAGGCGCUGCUUCGCGUUCUCAUGAAAAAGUGGUAGUGUGAAAUCAAGUUUGCAAGCAGAAGAAUCGCUUGAAAUCAAGUUUGCCAGUCGAUGCGUGGUCGUUUUUUCUCUCGCGAAACCACUACGAAAAAACUAUUUGAAAUCCACGAAAUUCUAUAGAACACACGCACGAACGGAAGUGAGCACGGACCACGAUAGAAACAAUAUUCAAUUGAUUGGAGUGCCGAAAACAACAGAACAAGAGAGGAAAGAAGGCAGGAACGAUCCUCCAACGUGCUAGCGCCUGGUAGAGGAGAAGCGGCAGGAAGGUAGAGACGAUCAUCCAGCGCGCUAGCGCAGCAUGUGAGAGCAGCGAGAGGGAGGCAAGCAGGAAGAAUUUUUAACGUGUGGACACCAUUCGACGAAGACAACGCUGGAUUAAAGGAAGAACGAGGGCAGGUAAGACGGGUACGUGUGUCUCUCGCACGGGUUUUCGGCAGUGUGAAUUGUGUGAGUAUUGAAAAGUGUAUGUGUGAGUAGAGGUAAAGAGGUAAAAUAAAGAGCGAAUGUGUAGAACGGAAAAAUGAGAGAGAGUCUGUGUUUGUUUUGGGAGAGAGGAGAGAAUGAAAGAUCGCGAUUUAGUUUUAAGCGUCGAUGUGUUCCAAACUAAUUUUUUGGAAUGUUAGAAACUGGCACUCUAACCAAA